AGAGUUUGAUCCUGGCUCAGGAUGAACGCUGGCGGUAUGCUUAACACAUGCAAGUCGAACGAAAGCUUUAUGCUUUAGUGGCGAACGGGUGCGUAAUACGUGAGAAUCUGCCCUUAGGAGGAGAAUAACUUCUGGAAACGGUUGCUAAGUCUCCAUAUGCCGAGAGGUAAAAUAGUUUACACUGCCUAGGGAUGAGCUCACGCCUGAUUAGCUUGUUGGUAAGGUAAUGGCUUACCAAGGCCACGAUCAGUAGCUGGUUUGAGAGAACGAUCAGCCACACUGGGACUGAGACACGGCCCAGACUCCUCCGGGAGGCAGCAGUGAGGAAUUUUCCGCAAUGGGCGAAAGCCUGACGGAGCAAUACCGCGUGAGGGAUGAAGGAUUUUGGUCUGUAAACCUCUUUUCUCAAGAAAGAAGUUCUGACGGUACUUGAGGAAUAAGCAUCGGCUAACUCCGUGCCAGCAGCCGCGGUAAUACGGGGGAUGCAAGCGUUAUCCGGAAUCAUUGGGCGUAAAGCGCCUGUAGGUUGUUUAAUAAGUCUGUUGUUAAAGACUAGGGCUUAACCCUAGGAAAGCAAUGGAAACUACUAGACUUGAGUAUGAUAGGGGUAGAGGGAAUUUCUAGUGUAGCGGUGAAAUGCGUAGAUAUUAGAAAGAACACCGGUGGCGAAGGCGCUCUACUGGAUCAUUACUGACACUCAGAGGCGAAAGCUAGGGUAGCAAAAGGGAUUAGAUACCCCUGUAGUCCUAGCCGUAAACGAUGGAUACUAGAUGUUGCGCUCCAUGUGC
Molecule: ribosomal RNA, 788 nt
Filed under: marine metagenome
Description: bacterial SSU rRNA
Rfam family: Bacterial small subunit ribosomal RNA
Source: RNAcentral